AUUCGAAACGGUCAGAAAUGACCGUCUAUCGGGAAUGACCGUCCGAUACUGAUGAGAUAGGUUAAC
This 66-nucleotide non-coding RNA is filed under the name Anaerobutyricum hallii. Lineage: Bacteria; Bacillati; Bacillota; Clostridia; Lachnospirales; Lachnospiraceae. The record is from RNAcentral.